CCUACGGGAGGCAGCAGUGAGGAAUAUUGGUCAAUGGGCGCAAGCCUGAACCAGCCAAGUAGCGUGAAGGAUGACUGCCCUACGGGUUGUAAACUUCUUUUAUACGGGAAUAAAGUGCGGUACGUGUGCCUUUUUGCAUGUACCUUAUGAAUAAGGAUCGGCUAACUCCGUGCCAGCAGCCGCGGUAAUACGGAGGAUCCGAGCGUUAUCCGGAUUUAUUGGGUUUAAAGGGAGCGUAGGCGGGGUGUUAAGUUAGUUGUGAAAUUUUGCGGCUCAACCGUGGAAUUGCAGUUGAUACUGGCAGCCUUGAGUGCAGUUGAGGUAGGCGGAAUUCGUGGUGUAGCGGUGAAAUGCUUAGAGAUCACGAAGAACUCCGAUUGCGAAGGCAGCUUACUAAACUGCAACUGACGUUGAUGCUCGAAAGUGUGGGUAUCAAACAGGAUUAGAUACCCCUGUAGUC
RNAcentral lists this ribosomal RNA (460 nucleotides) under uncultured bacterium. Its description in RNAcentral is "partial 16S ribosomal RNA". It matches the Rfam family "Bacterial small subunit ribosomal RNA", at positions 338 to 795 of the family's 1533-position model. The record is from RNAcentral.